AAUAGAUACCCGGGUAGUCCACGCCGUAAACGAUGAGUGCUAAGUGUUAGAGGGUUUCCGCCCUUUAGUGCUGCAGCUAACGCAUUAAGCACUCCGCCUGGGGAGUACGGUCGCAAGACUGAAACUCAAAGGAAUUGACGGGGGCCCGCACAAGCGGUGGAGCAUGUGGUUUAAUUCGAAGCAACGCGAAGAACCUUACCAGGUCUUGACAUCCUCUGACAACUCUAGAGAUAGAGCGUUCCCCUUCGGGGGACAGAGUGACAGGUGGUGCAUGGUUGUCGUCAGCUCGUGUCGUGAGAUGUUGGGUUAAGUCCCGCAACGAGCGCAACCCUUGAUCUUAGUUGCCAGCAUUUAGUUGGGCACUCUAAGGUGACUGCCGGUGACAAACCGGAGGAAGGUGGGGAUGACGUCAAAUCAUCAUGCCCCUUAUGACCUGGGCUACACACGUGCUACAAUGGAUGGUACAAAGGGCUGCAAGACCGCGAGGUCAAGCCAAUCCCAUAAAACCAUUCUCAGUUCGGAUUGUAGG
RNAcentral lists this ribosomal RNA (529 nucleotides) under uncultured bacterium. RNAcentral's name for it is "bacterial SSU rRNA". It matches the Rfam family "Bacterial small subunit ribosomal RNA", at positions 777 to 1304 of the family's 1533-position model. The record is from RNAcentral.